RNAcentral lists this ribosomal RNA (467 nucleotides) under uncultured bacterium. RNAcentral's name for it is "partial 16S ribosomal RNA". It matches the Rfam family "Bacterial small subunit ribosomal RNA", at positions 338 to 795 of the family's 1533-position model. The record is from RNAcentral.
CCUAGGGUGGCAGCAGUGGGGAAUAUUGGACAAUGGGGGAAACCCUGAUCCAGCAAUGCCGCGUGUGUGAAGAAGGCCUGCGGGUUGUAAAGCACUUUCGGUUGGGAGGACUGCUUCUAGCACUAAUAUUGUUGGAAGUUGACGUUACCUUCAGAAGAAGCACCGACUAACUCCGUGCCAGCAGCCGCGGUGGAAUACGGAGGGUGCAAGCGUUAAUCGGAAUUACUGGGCGUAAAGCGCGCGUAGGCGGCUAGAUCAGUCGGGUGUGAAAGCCCCGGGCUUAACCUGGGAGCUGCAUCCGAUACUGUCUAGCUUGAGUACAGGAGAGGAGAGUGGAAUUCCACAUGUAGCGGUGAAAUGCGUAGAUAUGUGGAGGAACACCAAUGGCGAAGGCAGCUCUCUGGCCUGAUACUGACGCUGAGGUGCGAAAGCGUGGGGAGCAAACAGGAUUAGAUACCCUUGUAGUC